CCUACCUAAAAAAUUUCACUAGAAGAGAUUGUUUUAAUGCCCAAAUAUCUUCAAAUUGAUCAUCUUAACAUCAAGAUGCAUGGACAUGAGAAAAAAAUGGAUCACAAGUUUUGGAAACAGUAUAUUUUGUGAAGCAUUUUUGGACCAUCAAUUUUCAAGAUUUUCAAGUUUGCAUAGAUAUGUCGAUCUACACUAUUUUUGAAGCUUUAAAAUUUAUAAAUAAAUAUGAAAAUAUAUUUUAAGGCUAUCACAAAGAUUUCCAAUAUUGAAACCACAUUUUUUUGAUACUAUUUGAAGGCAGG
Molecule: long non-coding RNA, 302 nt
Filed under: Amborella trichopoda
Lineage: Eukaryota; Viridiplantae; Streptophyta; Magnoliopsida; Amborellales; Amborellaceae
Description: long non-coding RNA (ATRI_LNC000785)
Source: RNAcentral